RNAcentral lists this ribosomal RNA (301 nucleotides) under uncultured bacterium. Its description in RNAcentral is "bacterial SSU rRNA". It matches the Rfam family "Bacterial small subunit ribosomal RNA", at positions 505 to 805 of the family's 1533-position model. The record is from RNAcentral.
GUGUCAGCCGCCGCGGUAAUACGUAGGGUGCGGGCGUUAAUCGGAAUUACUGGGCGUAAAGCGUGCGCAGGCGGUUUUGUAAGACAGAUGUGAAAUCCCCGGGCUUAACCUGGGAACUGCGUUUGUGACUGCAAGGCUAGAGUACGGCAGAGGGGGGUGGAAUUCCACGUGUAGCAGUGAAAUGCGUAGAUAUCGGGAGGAACACCAGUGGCGAAGGCGGUUUCCUGGUCUGAUACUGACGCUGAGGCGCGAAAGCGUGGGGAGCAAACAGGAUUAGAUACCCUGGUAGUCCACGCUGUAA